Long non-coding RNA from Musa acuminata AAA Group (dessert banana), 852 nucleotides. RefSeq lists it as uncharacterized. The transcript is spliced from 2 exons. The record is from RefSeq and is a predicted model, not a curated record. NCBI's taxonomy places the organism in Eukaryota, Viridiplantae, Streptophyta, Magnoliopsida, Zingiberales, Musaceae.
UCUAACACAAAAUGCCGAAAACGUGUUUUCAGCACACUGGAAAGAAACAUGUGGCUUAGCUUUUGAGCGUGGCCAGAUAUUUAAGACCGACAGGCUCGACGAGUCAACCCAAAACAACGUGGUCGCAUGCUGAUCGCUUAUAAUUCCGAAAGCAACACUCCGCCGUGUCGUGUUGUCCGUCUGAAGUAAACAGUGGGCCAAAAAUAUUCGAAUGCACCCCUCGUUUCGGUUGAAUCCAAAUUGGAAUCGAACGGGCGUAGGUCGACACACGAGUUGAAAUUUCUCGUAGUCGGGGCCGUGUACCUGACCAUAUCAAUCAUGUCUAUCUUUGACCUUUCCUUCUUCUCGACGAGGAGAUGAAGCUGCAAAACAACUUCCCUAAUAACUCCAUUAUUUUCUGGCUCUGUGAAGAUUUAAUAACCUGAACACGAGGCAACUGCGCCAGUGUGGGCGGCGGCGUGCAUAAAGGCCUGCUCUCUCUCUCUCUCUCUCUCUCUUUAUCGCUCUUCCUCAAACAUAUGCAUAAAGAUUGGACGGGCCUGCAGAAGAAAGGCCUGCAAAAGAUGGGAGGACGGCCAAGAGAAGGUGACGCCAACAGAAGGAAACAAGAGAAGGACGAGAGGGCGGCGGAGCGAAGGCUAUGGGCGAGACUGUGAGAGAGGGAAAGGAGACAGGCGACCGCAGCAAGGAUAGGGAUGGCUUUGUGACAACUUGCUAACUGCAACAUCAAUCAACACCAAAUCAACAACAAAUGGAGGAAAAGUAAAGAUCAAAACGCCAUGUUUCUUGUUAUUUUAUCCUAUAGGAUCGAGUCGGUGUUAUAAAAAAGAAAUAAGUUAAGGAAAACCUCCA